CCAACUCCAGGUGACCUUACAACCAGCUUUCAGAGACCAAGCAGAUUCCCACAACAUCACUUGUAUCGCUCUGAACCGAUCUCUCACAGCCAUGAGGACACUGGUGCUGAUUCUGGUGUUGGUCGCAGCCGCCAUGUCGGCUCAUGUUCCGGAAGAACGAGCCGCGGAUGUAGUUGGUGGUCUUUUGUCUUCGGGUACAGGUGGUUCGGGUGUAAUUGGUUCUGUGAAUAUAGUUGCUACUCUGGCUCAACUCCUACCAAUUAAUCUUUCGCUCCAAUCGGUCAUUGGUUUGCUCACUACUGUUGUCAACGGGUUACUUGUCCUCGUAACAAAUCUUUCUGCUGUCCUUGUCAAUGUCCUUGUCAGUGUCCUUGCCCUUUUGAAACUUUGCUCCGUAGUAAUAUCCACACUUCAAGGGUGCUCCCAUGCUGUCCUCAGCUCAAACGCCAGCGCCAGUUUCAGCUACGUCGUUUCCACGAUGAUGAAUUUCACCUCUAGUUUCCAACUAGAUCUGCAGAAUACGUGUUCCGUGACUGGAGGUUGAACAACGCUUCUUCUGACGACCUUCCUCGAUUGACCGCUAUGAACAAGACUGACCGCUAUGAACAAGACUGACCGUAUCCCAUGAUGCACUGAAAUACUCUACCAGCCCCAGGGCAGGACACACUCGUGAUGACUGUCCGUUACGGCUUGUGUUAGAGAACAAUAAACAAUAAACAUGGCUCUGUCCUGCA
This 734-nucleotide unclassified non-coding RNA is filed under the name Pomacea canaliculata. RNAcentral's name for it is "uncharacterized LOC112574524, transcript variant X1". Lineage: Eukaryota; Metazoa; Mollusca; Gastropoda; Architaenioglossa; Ampullariidae. The record is from RNAcentral.